GCGAAAACUUUGCAAUGUGCGAAAGCACGACAAGGUUAAUCCGAGUGGUUUCUGCUAAAGAAACCUUUUGCUAGUCCUAGAAACACUAGUGAAUAAGGGGUGGGCAAGUUCUGGUGUCAGCCGCCGCGGUAAAACCAGCACCUCAAGUGGUCAGGAUGAUUAUUGGGCCUAAAGCAUCCGUAGCUCGUUUUGUAAGUUUUCGGUUAAAUCCAUACGCUUAACGUAUGGGCUGCCGGGAAUACUGCAUAACUAGGAAGUGGGAGAGGGUAGACGGUACUCGGUAGGAAGGGGUAAAAUCCUUUGAUCUAUUGAUGACCACCUGUGGCGAAGGCGGUCUACCAGAACACGUUCGACGGUGAGGGAUGAAAGCUGGGGGAGCAAACCGGAUUAGAUACCCGGGUAGUCCCAGCUGUAAACUAUGCAAACUCAGUGAUGCAUUGGCUUGUGGCCAAUGCAGU
This 458-nucleotide ribosomal RNA is filed under the name uncultured bacterium. RNAcentral describes it as "bacterial SSU rRNA". It matches the Rfam family "Archaeal small subunit ribosomal RNA", at positions 341 to 799 of the family's 1478-position model. The record is from RNAcentral.